RNAcentral lists this ribosomal RNA (483 nucleotides) under Escherichia coli. Its description in RNAcentral is "bacterial SSU rRNA". It matches the Rfam family "Bacterial small subunit ribosomal RNA", at positions 158 to 636 of the family's 1533-position model. Lineage: Bacteria; Pseudomonadati; Pseudomonadota; Gammaproteobacteria; Enterobacterales; Enterobacteriaceae. The record is from RNAcentral.
GGUAGCUAAUACCGCAUAACGUCGCAAGACCAAAGAGGGGGACCUUCGGGCCUCUUGCCAUCGGAUGUGCCCAGAUGGGAUUAGCUAGUAGGUGGGGUAACGGCUCACCUAGGCGACGAUCCCUAGCUGGUCUGAGAGGAUGACCAGCCACACUGGAACUGAGACACGGUCCAGACUCCUACGGGAGGCAGCAGUGGGGAAUAUUGCACAAUGGGCGCAAGCCUGAUGCAGCCAUGCCGCGUGUAUGAAGAAGGCCUUCGGGUUGUAAAGUACUUUCAGCGGGGAGGAAGGGAGUAAAGUUAAUACCUUUGCUCAUUGACGUUACCCGCAGAAGAAGCACCGGCUAACUCCGUGCCAGCAGCCGCGGUAAUACGGAGGGUGCAAGCGUUAAUCGGAAUUACUGGGCGUAAAGCGCACGCAGGCGGUUUGUUAAGUCAGAUGUGAAAUCCCCGGGCUCAACCUGGGAACUGCAUCUGAUACUGG